This is a regulatory RNA element of Bacilli bacterium VT-13-104, 129 nucleotides long. It matches the Rfam family "PyrR binding site". Rfam says of the family: This family represents the PyrR binding site and terminator structure. This RNA structure is found upstream of a variety of genes involved in pyrimidine biosynthesis and transport. The alignment also includes a portion of the antiterminator structure. NCBI's taxonomy places the organism in Bacteria, Bacillati, Bacillota, Bacilli. The record is from Rfam.
AAGACCUUUUAACAAUAGUCCUGUGAGGCUAGAAAAGGAAUCGUGAAUCAUAGACAAGUGUAUUCAUUAUAAAAUGGAUAAGUCUAUCGAAGUGAAUCCUUUACCUCAUGGUAAAAGGAUUUUUUCGUU